AGGGAUCAUUACCGAGUUUACAACUCCCAAACCCAAUGAGAACCAUACCAAACUGUUGCCUCGGCGGGGUCACGCCCCGGGUGCGUCGCAGCCCCGGAACCAGGCGCCCGCCGGAGGGACCAACCAAACUCUUUUCUGUAGUCCCCUCGCGGACGUUAUUUCUUACAGCUCUGAGCAAAAAUUCAAAAUGAAUCAAAACUUUCAACAACGGAUCUCUUGGUUCUGGCAUCGAUGAAGAACGCAGCGAAAUGCGAUAAGUAAUGUGAAUUGCAGAAUUCAGUGAAUCAUCGAAUCUUUGAACGCACAUUGCGCCCGCCAGUAUUCUGGCGGGCAUGCCUGUCCGAGCGUCAUUUCAACCCUCGAACCCCUCCGGGGGGUCGGCGUUGGGGAUCGGGAACCCCUAAGACGGGAUCCCGGCCCCGAAAUACAGUGGCGGUCUCGCCGCAGCCUCUCCUGCGCAGUAGUUUGCACAACUCGCACCGGGAGCGCGGCGCGUCCACGUCCGUAAAACACCCAACUUCUGAAAUGUUGACCUCGGAUCAGGUAGGAAUACCCGCUGAACUUAA
Molecule: ribosomal RNA, 566 nt
Filed under: uncultured Trichoderma
Lineage: Eukaryota; Fungi; Ascomycota; Sordariomycetes; Hypocreales; Hypocreaceae
Description: eukaryotic LSU rRNA
Rfam family: 5.8S ribosomal RNA (bases 197-350)
Source: RNAcentral